This 492-nucleotide ribosomal RNA is filed under the name uncultured bacterium. RNAcentral's name for it is "partial 16S ribosomal RNA". It matches the Rfam family "Bacterial small subunit ribosomal RNA", at positions 29 to 507 of the family's 1533-position model. The record is from RNAcentral.
AGUGAACGCUGGCGGUAGGCCUAACACAUGCAAGUCGAACGGCAGCACAGUAAGAGCUUGCUCUUACGGGUGGCGGGUGGCGGACGGGUGAGGAAUACAUCGGAAUCUACUUUUUCGUGGGGGAUAACGUAGGGAAACUUACGCUAAUGCCGCAUACGACCUACGGGUGAAAGCAGGGGAUCUUCGGACCUUGCGCGAUUGAAUGAGCCGAUGUCGGAUUAGCUAGUUGGCGGGGUAAAGGCCCACCAAGGCGACGAUCCGUAGCUGGUCUGAGAGGAUGAUCGGCCACACUGGAACUGAGACACGGUCCAGACUCCUACGGGAGGCAGCAGUGGGGAAUAUUGGACAAAGGGCGCAAGCCUGAUCCAGCCAUACCGCGUGGGUGAAGAAGGCCUUCGGGUUGUAAAGCCCUUUUGUUGGGAAAGAAAAGCAGCAGGUUAAUACCCCGCUGUUCUGACGGUACCCAAAGAAUAAGCACCGGCUAACUUCGUG